UACAGAGGUCUCAAGCGUUGUUCGGAUUCACUGGGCGUAAAGGGUGCGUAGGUGGCGCCGUAAGUCAGGUGUGAAAUCUCGGGGCUCAACCCCGAAACUGCACUUGAUACUGCGGUGCUCGAGUACUGGAGAGGAGAUUGGAAUUUACGGUGUAGCAGUGAAAUGCGUAGAUAUCGUAAGGAAGACCAGUGGCGAAGGCGAAUCUCUGGACAGUUACUGACACUGAGGCACGAAGGCCAGGGGAGCAAACGGG
RNAcentral lists this ribosomal RNA (253 nucleotides) under uncultured bacterium. RNAcentral's name for it is "partial 16S ribosomal RNA". It matches the Rfam family "Bacterial small subunit ribosomal RNA", at positions 524 to 776 of the family's 1533-position model. The record is from RNAcentral.